AGUGAACGCUGGCGGUAGGCCUAACACAUGCGAGUCGAACGGCAGCACAGUAAGAGCUUGCUCUUACGGGUGGCGAGUGGCGGACGGGUGAGGAAUACAUCGGAAUCUACUUUUUCGUGGGGGAUAACGUAGGGAAACUUACGCUAAUACCGCAUACGACCUACGGGUGAAAGCAGGGGAUCUUCGGACCUUGCGCAAUUGAAUGAGCCGAUGUCGGAUUAGCUAGUUGGCGGGGUAAAGGCCCACCAAGGCGACGAUCCGUAGCUGGUCUGAGAGGAUGAUCAGCCACACUGGAACUGAGACACGGUCCAGACUCCUACGGGAGGCAGCAGUGGGGAAUAUUGGACAAUGGGCGCAAGCCUGAUCCAGCCAUACCGCGUGGGUGAAGAAGGCCUUCGGGUUGUAAAGCCCUUUUGUUGGGAAAGAAAAGCAGCAGGUUAAUACCCCGCUGUUCUGACGGUACCCAAAGAAUAAGCACCGGCUAACUUCGUG
Molecule: ribosomal RNA, 492 nt
Filed under: uncultured bacterium
Lineage: Bacteria
Description: partial 16S ribosomal RNA
Rfam family: Bacterial small subunit ribosomal RNA
Source: RNAcentral